RNAcentral lists this ribosomal RNA (496 nucleotides) under uncultured bacterium. RNAcentral describes it as "partial 16S ribosomal RNA". It matches the Rfam family "Bacterial small subunit ribosomal RNA", at positions 28 to 507 of the family's 1533-position model. The record is from RNAcentral.
GAUGAACGCUGGCGGCGUGCCUAAUACAUGCAAGUCGAGCGAACGGACGAGAAGCUUGCUUCUCUGAUGUUAGCGGCGGACGGGUGAGUAACACGUGGAUAACCUACCUAUAAGACUGGGAUAACUUCGGGAAACCGUAGCUAAUACCGGAUAAUAUUUUGAACCGCAUGGUUCAAAAGUGAAAGACGGUCUUGCUGUCACUUAUAGAUGGAUCCGCGCUGCAUUAGCUAGUUGGUAAGGUAACGGCUUACCAAGGCAACGAUGCAUAGCCGACCUGAGAGGGUGAUCGGCCACACUGGAACUGAGACACGGUCCAGACUCCUACGGGAGGCAGCAGUAGGGAAUCUUCCGCAAUGGGCGAAAGCCUGACGGAGCAACGCCGCGUGAGUGAUGAAGGUCUUCGGAUCGUAAAACUCUGUUAUUAGGGAAGAACAUAUGUGUAAGUAACUGUGCACAUCUUACGGUACCUAAUCAGAAAGCCACGGCUAACUACGUG